CCUACGGGCGGCAGCAGUGAGGAAUAUUGGUCAAUGGACGAGAGUCUGAACCAGCCAAGUAGCGUGAAGGAUGACUGCCCUAUGGGUUGUAAACUUCUUUUAUAUGGGAAUAAAAUGUUCCACGUGUGGGAUUUUGUAUGUACCAUAUGAAUAAGGAUCGGCUAACUCCGUGCCAGCAGCCGCGGUAAUACGGAGGAUCCGAGCGUUAUCCGGGUUUAUUGGGUUUAAAGGGAGCGUAGGUGGAUUGUUAAGUCAGUUGUGAAAGUUUGCGGCUCAACCGUAAAAUUGCAGUUGAAACUGGCAGUCUUGAGUACAGUAGAGGUGGGCGGAAUUCGUGGUGUAGCGGUGAAAUGCUUAGAUAUCACGAAGAACUCCGAUUGCGAAGGCAGUUCACUGGACUGCAACUGACACUGAGGCUCGAAAGUGUGGGUAUCAAACAGGAUUAGAUACCCUUGUAGUC
RNAcentral lists this ribosomal RNA (460 nucleotides) under uncultured bacterium. Its description in RNAcentral is "partial 16S ribosomal RNA". It matches the Rfam family "Bacterial small subunit ribosomal RNA", at positions 338 to 795 of the family's 1533-position model. The record is from RNAcentral.